This 784-nucleotide unclassified non-coding RNA is filed under the name Hevea brasiliensis (rubber tree). Lineage: Eukaryota; Viridiplantae; Streptophyta; Magnoliopsida; Malpighiales; Euphorbiaceae. The record is from RNAcentral.
AGAAGCAGAUGCUCCUGUCUGCAGCCAAAAAGCAAAUUUACAUCACAUCAUUCCAAACAUUAAACUGACGUUUAAUACAAUGUACACUACCACACUUCAAACCAGUCAUUUUUUGAACAAACAAUUACUGCCAAAGAAUUACAGAAAGUGCAAUUUGACGUCUUCAGAUAAAGAUUUUGCCCAAGACAGUUAAACUGUAAUGAAAUUUCUGGUUUUAGUCUAUAGUACGUAAAUAGAAAUUCAUAAAUAGAUUAACUGGGAUGAGCACCAAUAGAAUCAAAACAUAUUCUUAAUAUAUUAACUCUCUAUCACAAAUUAGCAGCAGUCCAUUAGACACCAAAUAUGCCACUCCCUAAAUUAGAUAAUACAACAAACAUCCUCGCACUCCCUAAAUUAGAUAAUAAAACAAACAUCCUCAAUAGUUUCUUUAUCCUAAUUGUGCUAUGAGCUUUCUGAGGAUAUUUGAGAACAAAUGAUUAAUCCCUGAGAUGUACAGUCCAUAAAAUUUCAAGUCAUACAGUACAACCUGUAAUCCUAAACCAAUAUCAUGCCAAGCCACCAACCUAUGGAAUUUUCUAUUUUUUUAUGCAUUUGGCCAAUGCCUCUGGAGAUUCUAACGACCAGAACAGGAAUAAGGAUGAAAUUGAUUCCAUCAAACAACCAAGGCAAUUAAGUAACCCUUCCUGGGAGGGUGGAAAGGUUCCCAGAUUGAUAAGGAAAAUUCCAUUGCAAAACAUUUGAAAGGCAUCAUUCAGCAUAAUUCAUGGUACAGCAGGCAAGAUAA